GUAUUCGCCGGAGAUGGCAAGUAAAAUAGUGGUCCUGUGCGCUAUACUCCACAAUAUCGCGGUAAGGAGUAGCGUAGAGCUUCCUCAGACAGAGGAAUUGCCUGAUGAGGAGCCAGGGGUUGUCCGACACUUCGGUGGGGGGAGUGUUACAAGGAGGGGGAGCCAAGUCAGGGCAAGCAUUGUUGCUGAAUUUUUCAGCUGAAAGACCACACAAACUGAGGACGACCACAACGGCAAGCACCACAUGAUGCACCAGCUCAGCACCCUUCCCCUUCUCACUCCCCCUCCACUUCCCAGUCCCCCUCCCCUUCUCACUCCCCCUCCCCUUCUCACUCCCCCUCCCCUUCUCACUCCCCCUCCCCUUCUCACUCCCCCUCAGCUUCCCAAUCCCCCUCAGCUUCCCAAUCACCCUCAGCUUCACAAUCCACCUCAGCUUCCCAGUCACCCUCAGCUUCACAAUCCACCUCAGCUUCCCAGUCACCCUCAGCUUCCCAGGACCCCUCAGCUUCCCAGGCCCACUCCACUUUCCACUCCCCUUCUCAGCCAACCUCUCCUUCUCUUUCUGUGACCCCUUCUCCUCCUUCCCAUACCCCUUCUCCUUCUACUUCCAAC
Pseudophryne corroboree (corroboree frog) is the source of this 612-nucleotide long non-coding RNA. RefSeq lists it as uncharacterized. The transcript is spliced from 3 exons. The record is from RefSeq and is a predicted model, not a curated record. NCBI's taxonomy places the organism in Eukaryota, Metazoa, Chordata, Amphibia, Anura, Myobatrachidae.